UACACACCGCCCGUCACACCAUGGAGUUGAUUGCACCAGAAGUAGGUAGCCUAACCGCAAGGGGGGCGCUUACCACGGUGUGGUCAAUGACUGGGGUG
Molecule: ribosomal RNA, 98 nt
Filed under: uncultured bacterium
Lineage: Bacteria
Description: partial 16S ribosomal RNA
Rfam family: Bacterial small subunit ribosomal RNA
Source: RNAcentral